RNAcentral lists this ribosomal RNA (712 nucleotides) under Rubrivivax rivuli. RNAcentral's name for it is "bacterial SSU rRNA". It matches the Rfam family "Bacterial small subunit ribosomal RNA", at positions 1 to 705 of the family's 1533-position model. The record is from RNAcentral. Lineage: Bacteria; Pseudomonadati; Pseudomonadota; Betaproteobacteria; Burkholderiales; Sphaerotilaceae.
AGAUCGAACUGAAGAGUUUGAUCCUGGCUCAGAUUGAACGCUGGCGGCAUGCCUUACACAUGCAAGUCGAACGGUAACGCGGGGCAACCUGGCGACGAGUGGCGAACGGGUGAGUAAUAUAUCGGAACGUGCCCAGUAGUGGGGGAUAGCCCGGCGAAAGCCGGAUUAAUACCGCAUACGACCUAAGGGUGAAAGCGGGGGAUCGCAAGACCUCGCGCUAUUGGAGCGGCCGAUAUCAGAUUAGGUAGUUGGUGGGGUAAAGGCCUACCAAGCCUGCGAUCUGUAGCUGGUCUGAGAGGACGACCAGCCACACUGGGACUGAGACACGGCCCAGACUCCUACGGGAGGCAGCAGUGGGGAAUUUUGGACAAUGGGCGCAAGCCUGAUCCAGCCAUGCCGCGUGCGGGAAGAAGGCCUUCGGGUUGUAAACCGCUUUUGUCAGGGAAGAAACGCUCUGGGCUAAUACCCUGGGGUAAUGACGGUACCUGAAGAAUAAGCACCGGCUAACUACGUGCCAGCAGCCGCGGUAAUACGUAGGGUGCGAGCGUUAAUCGGAAUUACUGGGCGUAAAGCGUGCGCAGGCGGUCUUGCAAGACAGAUGUGAAAUCCCCGGGCUCAACCUGGGAACUGCAUUUGUGACUGCAAGGCUAGAGUACGGCAGAGGGGGAUGGAAUUCCGCGUGUAGCAGUGAAAUGCGUAGAUAUGCGGAGGA